GCCCUGGAAGGCAAAGUCUUAACGGCUGGACUGCCAGGAAUGUCCCCAGGCAUUCAGUUUUGUUUUUAGGAAUUCAGUAUCGGUUUCAGUAGGCAGGAAUACUGGAGUGGGUUGCUGUUCCCUGCUCCAGGGGCUCUUCCCAACCCCGGGGGUCGAACUCCGGUCUCCCGCAGUGCAGGCGGAUUCUUCACCAGCUGCGCCUCCAGGGAAGCCCUUCAACGGAACGCCAUUUGCGUUAUCAAAGGGGGCCUUGGGGUUCCGUGAGUGCUUCAGUCAUAAGACAGCGCACUUGGAAUUUCUCACCUGAAUCCUGUCAAAGAGAUGAAUUCAUUUCAGGGCGAGAAAAGCCCACAGAGGGAGGAAGGGAGGAUGUUACCCCGGCCGCGGUUGAAUCUUAUUAAAACCUGACAGAGCCCGGCCCCAGCAUCUCAGCGAGAUCCUAGGAAGAUGCGGGACGGCAGCAUCGCUACGGCGCCCGCUGUCUGAGAAGUCAGGCCCGGCGAGGUCGUCGUUAAUGACUCCCUGUCAGGUUGGGAGGAUGCGGGGAGGACAGCUGGGAGACCUCUGAGAAGGACCUGCGGUUCCGCUGUAGUUUCAUUAACAGCGGGAAGAGACGCCGGAUUUGAUACUCUGGACAGGGGACAUGAGGUCAGGAGGGGUCAUAAAUGCCUCGAAAAGAGACGUGAAGAUACAGCGCAGCUUGGAAAUGACAACGAUGGGCAGGGAAUUGAGAUGCCGGAUGACUUUUCUGUCAACUCCCAGGCGUCCAGAGUUCUCUCCUGUGGACACCCGCGUUGUGAGUGUGGGUCUCGCUUCCCCGUGAACAUCCUUGUCCAUCCUUAACUGUGUAUCUGUGACUGUUGGAUGCAACCAUCAAGGGCUGCCCGGAGCCGUCUGCUUCUACAUCCGUUAUCCAUCCCAGCUCCCGUGGUCUGCAGGUCAACACCUCCCCUCGGGCGAAGCAUCAAAGCAGCGCGUGACUUUCUGCCCCAACGUGGAGUUUUCCUUGCUUCCUGCUCCAGGAGUGAAGUGCCCAUCUCUAGGACCUAACGCCUGAUGAUCUGAGAUGGAAACGGAUGUCCUAAUCA
RNAcentral lists this long non-coding RNA (1088 nucleotides) under Capra hircus (goat). Its description in RNAcentral is "lncRNA (ENSCHIG00010025621.1)". Lineage: Eukaryota; Metazoa; Chordata; Mammalia; Artiodactyla; Bovidae. The record is from RNAcentral.